Molecule: non-coding RNA, 148 nt
Organism: Caenorhabditis elegans
Lineage: Eukaryota; Metazoa; Nematoda; Chromadorea; Rhabditida; Rhabditidae
Source: Ensembl
AAGUUCUUUGGAGCUGUCGAAAUGUCAAGGAGGUUCACCGACCCCAGAUUCUAUAUUGAAUUGAGCGGUGCUGCCUCUUGAAACCCAAUUUCGAGUUACACAGGAAAAGAGAAGAUCGCGAGAAGCGCAAGAAGUGAGCCGGGUGGAU